CCUCCUUCCCCCUCUCCCCCUCCCCAGGUCGCUUCCAGCAGGUCCAAGCUCUGGCCGCCACGGCCGACGCGUUCUUCUGCCUCUACUCCUACGUCUCCAAGACCCCCGUGCAGCGCAUCUCCCCCUCGCGCCUCGCCUGGGCCGACCCCGACGUCCCCGAUAUCCGCGUCUCCCCCGCCCAGCCUGCCGUCCUCUCGCCCGGGGACCGCCUGAAGAAGGCCGUGGCCAAAAUGUGCCUGUACACGGUCCCCCGCGCCGGGGACAGCCCGCGGGGGGCCGGCGCCCUGGGCAGGGUGGUGCAGGAGGUGCUGGAGCGGGCCAGGGAGGAGAGGUUUCGCUUCGACCCCCCCGAUGGCGAGGGUGGGGAAAGGGACAUUGGUGGGGUGCCCCUGGGGACUCACGGAGCCCCGGGGUCUCCGCCGGCACCCCUGUGGCCGGAGCGGGGUGUCCCCAAGUGUCACCGGCAGCCGGGGCUGUCCCCAAGGCUGGCCCCAGAGGGGACGGACACUGCCGAGGAGCGUCCCCGUUGCCUGAGCCCUUCGGCAGGGGGUCUGCUGUGGGCUGGGGGUGCUCCGUGCUCCGUGGGGACAGGACAGGGGGGAGCAGAGGACAGGCAGCUGUGGGCGGACGUCGCCUCAUCCCCAGCUCCGUGCGCCGCGGCCACCCAUGGCGGGUGGGUGUGCGCCACCCCCGAGCAGCCGGGAGCUGAGGGGGACUCCGGUUUUGGCUCCAGCCCCUGGGGGACCUCCCCCGGGAGGAAGGAAGGGGCCCAGCCCCCGGGCGAGCCCCUGGACUCCUGCGGGGCAUCGUCCCCUUGGUCCCACCAGCCAAGAGAUGGAGGCCAAAGGGCCCGGCGGAGCAGGGGACGGCACCGGGAGGGUGACCCAAGGGACACCAGAUGGUGGCAGGAGGAUGCACCGGGGCUGCAGCCCCCCGGGAAGGCUCCGGCGGUGGGGGGGCUCUCCCCCCAUCAUCGCAGCUGGGCAGAGACGCGCUGCAGGGAGGCCCCGGACUCCUUCGAGAUGGAAGAGGUGCCGAGCGCCGGCGAGGACGACGGCGAUGCCCACGAGGAAGCCGGCUGCUUCUUCCCUCCCUCCCUGCGGGUCCGGAGAAGCUUGAUGCUGCAGGGGUGCAGCGGCCACUCCGACAGCAGCGGCUUCGUGGAGGAGCCGCUGCCCGAGCAGACGCCGUGAGACCCCCGAGGGACCCCCCCCCUGCUCACCCCCACCGUGGUGCCAGCGCCGGCCGGGAGCCGCCGACGGAUGCACGAGGGAUUUUGCACCCCCGGGUUUUGGAUCCCGGAGCCCGUCCUCAGCCGAGGGCUGAGCACCGCGUGGACACGUCUGGGUGUGAGCGUGCGUGCACGUGUGUGUGUGUGUGUGUGUGUGUGCACCCCGUGGUUGUGCUGCACCAGGAACCUCUCGACUCAGGACUUUCACCCCCCAACAGCACCAGCAUCCCCCCGAACCUUGCCCUGUUUUCACUGGGGCUUCACUAGCACUUUGGAAACGCUCUGCUCCCCGGGCGCGUGUAACACUAGGACGGGGGUUUGCCGGGGCAGAGCCCACAGCACACUGGAAAUAAAGUUCCCCAAGGGAUCGGGCUGUGGCCUUGC
RNAcentral lists this long non-coding RNA (1615 nucleotides) under Anser brachyrhynchus (Pink-footed goose). Its description in RNAcentral is "lncRNA (ENSABRG00000021465.1)". The record is from RNAcentral. Lineage: Eukaryota; Metazoa; Chordata; Aves; Anseriformes; Anatidae.